GCGGACGUGGUGGAAUCGGCAGACACGCAAGACUUAGGAUCUUGUCCCGCAAGGGGUGAGGGUUCAAAUCCCUCCGUCCGCA
This 82-nucleotide transfer RNA is filed under the name Thermogutta sp. Its description in RNAcentral is "tRNA-Leu". It matches the Rfam family "tRNA". From Rfam's summary of the family: Transfer RNA (tRNA) molecules are approximately 80 nucleotides in length. Their secondary structure includes four short double-helical elements and three loops (D, anti-codon, and T loops). RNAcentral also lists the same sequence under 1 other name. Lineage: Bacteria; Pseudomonadati; Planctomycetota; Planctomycetia; Pirellulales; Thermoguttaceae. The record is from RNAcentral.